RNAcentral lists this ribosomal RNA (253 nucleotides) under uncultured bacterium. RNAcentral's name for it is "partial 16S ribosomal RNA". It matches the Rfam family "Bacterial small subunit ribosomal RNA", at positions 524 to 776 of the family's 1533-position model. The record is from RNAcentral.
UACGUAGGGUGCAAGCGUUGUCCGGAAUUAUUGGGCGUAAAGAGCUCGUAGGCGGCUCGUCACGUCGGCUGUGAAAACCCGGGGCUCAACCCCGGGACUGCAGUCGAUACGGGCGAGCUAGAGUUCGGCAGGGGAGACUGGAAUUCCUGGUGUAGCGGUGAAAUGCGCAGAUAUCAGGAGGAACACCGGUGGCGAAGGCGGGUCUCUGGGCCGAUACUGACGCUGAGGAGCGAAAGCGUGGGGAGCGAACAGG